AACGAACGCUGGCGGCAUGCCUAACACAUGCAAGUCGAACGAGACCUUCGGGUCUCGUGGCGCACGGGUGCGUAACGCGUGGGAACCUGCCCUUAGGUUCGGAAUAACUCCCCGAAAGGGGUGCUAAUACCGGAUAAUGUCUUCGGACCAAAGAUUUAUGGCCUUUGGAUGGGCCCGCGUUGGAUUAGCUAGUUGGUAGGGUAAAAGCCUACCAAGGCGACGAUCCAGAGCUGGUCUGAGAGGAUGAUCAGCCACACUGGGACUGAGACACGGCCCAGACUCGGACGAGGGGAAGCGGGGGGGAAGAUUGAAGAAGGGACGAAGGGUGGAUCAAGAAGUGCCGCGGGUGUUAAAAGGCCCUAGGGGGGGAAAAUGCUUUUUGCCGGGAAUGAUAGUGACGUUAGGGGGAGAAGAAGCCCGGGCUAACCCCGUG
This 433-nucleotide ribosomal RNA is filed under the name uncultured bacterium. Its description in RNAcentral is "partial 16S ribosomal RNA". It matches the Rfam family "Bacterial small subunit ribosomal RNA", at positions 29 to 507 of the family's 1533-position model. The record is from RNAcentral.